RNAcentral lists this ribosomal RNA (439 nucleotides) under uncultured bacterium. Its description in RNAcentral is "partial 16S ribosomal RNA". It matches the Rfam family "Bacterial small subunit ribosomal RNA", at positions 339 to 795 of the family's 1533-position model. The record is from RNAcentral.
CUACGGGUGGCUGCAGUGGGGAAUAUUGCGCAAUGGAGGAAACUCUGAUGCAGCAACGCCGCGUGGAGGAUGACACUUUUCGGAGCGUAAACUCCUUUUAUAUAGGAAGAAGAUGACGGUACUAUAUGAAUAAGCGCCGGCUAACUCCGUGCCAGCAGCCGCGGUAAUACGGAGGGCGCAAGCGUUACUCGGAAUCACUGGGCGUAAAGAGCGUGUAGGCGGAUUAAAAAGUCAGAAGUGAAAUCCUAUAGCUUAACUAUAGAACUGCUUCUGAAACUCUUAAUCUAGAAUAUGGGAGAGGUAGAUGGAAUUUCUGGUGUAGGGGUAAAAUCCGUAGAGAUCAGAAGGAAUACCGAUUGCGAAGGCGAUCUACUAGAGCAUUAUUGACGCUGAGACGCGAAAGCGUGGGGAGCAAACAGGAUUAGAUACCCUGGUAGUC